Molecule: non-coding RNA, 100 nt
Organism: Saccoglossus kowalevskii
Lineage: Eukaryota; Metazoa; Hemichordata; Enteropneusta; Harrimaniidae
Source: RefSeq, marked provisional
AUGGAAUUGAAUGCAUGUGCGGUAUCAUCGCUAUCGUGUGUUCUUGUGUGUCUGUACAACAAGCACACUACAUAGCGGUGCUUCCACGCACGUAAAUCUA